RNAcentral lists this long non-coding RNA (1431 nucleotides) under Callithrix jacchus (white-tufted-ear marmoset). Its description in RNAcentral is "lncRNA (ENSCJAG00000084352.1)". The record is from RNAcentral. Lineage: Eukaryota; Metazoa; Chordata; Mammalia; Primates; Cebidae.
AAGCAGUGGUUGGGGGAGGGGGACGCGGUGGCUUGCGCCUGUAAUCCCAGCACUUUGGGAGGCUGAGGCGGGUGGAUCACGAGGUCAGGAGUUUAAGACCAGCCUGGCCAAGAUGGUGAAACCCUGUCUCUACUAAAAAUACAAAACUAGCCAGGCAUGGUGGCAGGUGUCUGUAAUCCAGGCUACUUGGGAGGCUGAGGCAGGAGAAUUGCUUGAACCCAGUGUUCGGUAGAAAGCCCCGCCAUCUUUCCCCAGGUCUCUUGCCCCCGCCUUCCCCUCAGGCUUCCUGCUGCCUUGAGAAAAGCCCGCCAAACCAGUUCUGUUCUGCCCAGCAACGACAAGUAGCCAAUCGUCGCAACAGAAAAGCCCGCCAAGCCUCAACCUAUCCCGAACCGACACACAACCCUCUGAGCCACCUCAGCAGCCUGCCCAGAGACGGACAGCCUAUCCUAAGCUCCUACGACACUCUGCCAGCCCUGUGUCCACGCCCCAUCCACCCCCCUAUAAAACCCUCCUACCCCAGCUGCGCAGUCGCAGCCAGCCCCGAUCUCCUUCCUUUCCUGGCCUGCCCGCUGGUCCCAAUAAACCUGAACUCGGCUUCCAACUCUCGCUCGAGCUGUUACUUGGGAUCGGGUACCGGGCAGGGGUCUACAAGGGGGUCGCACAUUUGGUGCCGAAACCCGGGAGCGAGGGUCGCUAGCCCCCCUAGCGACCCCCUCCCUCCAGCGACCUCUCCAGCCCUCCUCCGAAUUGGCCCCAGCACUCCGAACCAGGCUGGAUCGAAGCUUUUCCCACUACUUCGGAGUCCGCCGACACUGUUGCUGCCCACCUCAUCCAGGACAUCAUCCCUCGGUUUGGGCUCCCGGCCACUAUUCAGUCAGACAACGGCCCGGCCUUUGUCUCCAAAGUUACUAAUGCUGUCUGUGCUUCCUUAGGAAUUCAGUGGAAGUUGCAUGCGGCCUACCACCCCCAGUCAUCGGGUAAGGUAGAACGGGCUAACGGACUAAUCAAGGAUCAACUUACCAAACUCUCUCUCGAGCUCAAGCAGUCGUGGGUCUCCUUACUACCGUUAGCUCUUGCCAGGCUGCGGGCCCGCCCCCGAGGAGCUUCACAGCUCAGCCCAUUCGAGCUCCUAUACGGGCGACCCUUCCUGCUAUCUACUCCACCUUCUCUGGAAAGUUCCCCCCUGAACACCUACCUUCCCUAUUUUACUCUCCUCAGACAUCUACUCAGGGAACACACCAACGCUUCCAUACCCCAAACCUCAGAAAUUUCACCCGCUCUGGGAAAAGUUGCUCCCGGUGACUCUGUUUUCAUUAAAUCUCUCACUCCAAAACCCCUCUCACCCCGGUGGGAAGGGCCCUAUACUGUCAUUUUAGCUACCCCAACGGCCAUCAAAGUCGCUCAGAUUCCAUCUUGGGUCCAUCUCUC